RNAcentral lists this ribosomal RNA (553 nucleotides) under uncultured archaeon. RNAcentral describes it as "bacterial SSU rRNA". It matches the Rfam family "Archaeal small subunit ribosomal RNA", at positions 326 to 879 of the family's 1478-position model. The record is from RNAcentral.
CGGGGUGCACCAGGCGCGAAAACUUUACAAUGCGGGAAACCGUGAUAAGGGGACACCGAGUGCCAGCAUCAUAUGCUGGCUGUCCAGGUGUGUAAAAUACACCUGUCAGCAAGGGCCGGGCAAGACCGGUGCCAGCCGCCGCGGUAACACCGGCGGCCCGAGUGGUGAUCGUGAUUAUUGGGUCUAAAGGGUCCGUAGCCGGUUUGGUCAGUCCUCCGGGAAAUCUGACGGCUCAACCGUUAGGCUUUCGGGGGAUACUGCCAGGCUUGGAACCGGGAGAGGUAAGAGGUACUACAGGGGUAGGAGUGAAAUCUUGUAAUCCCUGUGAGGCCACCUGUGGCGAAGGCGUCUUACCAGAACGGGUUCGACGGUGAGGGACGAAAGCUGGGGGCACGAACCGGAUUAGAUACCCGGGUAGUCCCAGCCGUAAACGAUGCUCGCUAGGUGUCAGGCAUGGCGCGACCGUGUCUGGUGCCGCAGGGAAGCCGUGAAGCGAGCCACCUGGGAAGUACGGCCGCAAGGCUGAAACUUAAAGGAAUUGGCGGGGGAGCAC